This 450-nucleotide ribosomal RNA is filed under the name uncultured organism. Its description in RNAcentral is "partial 16S ribosomal RNA". It matches the Rfam family "Bacterial small subunit ribosomal RNA", at positions 333 to 799 of the family's 1533-position model. The record is from RNAcentral.
ACACUCCUACGGGAGGCAGCAGUGGGGAAUAUUGGACAAUGGGCGCAAGCCUGAUCCAGCCAUGCCGCGUGAGUGAUGAAGGCCCUAGGGUUGUAAAGCUCUUUCACCGGAGAAGAUAAUGACGGUAUCCGGAGAAGAAGCCCCGGCUAACUUCGUGCCAGCAGCCGCGGUAAUACGAAGGGGGCUAGCGUUGUUCGGAAUUACUGGGCGUAAAGCGCACGUAGGCGGAUCGAUCAGUCAGGGGUGAAAUCCCAGGGCUCAACCCUGUAACUGCCUUUGAUACUGUCGAUCUGGAGUAUGGAAGAGGUGAGUGGAAUUCCGAGUGUAGAGGUGAAAUUCGUAGAUAUUCGGAGGAACACCAGUGGCGAAGGCGGCUCACUGGUCCAUUACUGACGCUGAGGUGCGAAAGCGUGGGGAGCAAACAGGAUUAGAAACCCCUGUAGUCCCAUG